CCUACGGGAGGCUGCAGUGAGGAAUAUUGGGCAAUGGGGGCAACCCUGACCCAGCCAUGCCGCGUGAGUGAAGAAGGUCUUCGGAUUGUAAAGCUCUUUCGGCCGUGACGAUGAUGACGGUAGCGUCUUAAGAAGCACCGGCAAACUUCGUGCCAGCAGCCGCGGUAAUACGGAGGGGGCGAGCGUUGUUCGGAUUUACUGGGCGUAAAGGGAGUGUAGGCGGAUAUGUAAGUUAGCGGUGAAAUGCCGGGGCUCAACCCCGGGACUGCCAUUAUGACUGUGUAGCUAGAGUAAUGGAGAGGAAAGCGGAAUACCCAGUGUAGAGGUGAAAUUCGUAGAUAUUGGGUAGAACACCGGUGGCGAAGGCGGCUAUCUGGCCGGUUACUGACGCUGAGGCUCGAAAGCGUGGGGAGCAAACAGGAUUAGAUACCCCAGUAGUC
RNAcentral lists this ribosomal RNA (440 nucleotides) under uncultured bacterium. RNAcentral's name for it is "partial 16S ribosomal RNA". It matches the Rfam family "Bacterial small subunit ribosomal RNA", at positions 338 to 795 of the family's 1533-position model. The record is from RNAcentral.